Molecule: ribosomal RNA, 433 nt
Filed under: uncultured bacterium
Lineage: Bacteria
Description: partial 16S ribosomal RNA
Rfam family: Bacterial small subunit ribosomal RNA
Source: RNAcentral
AACGAACGCUGGCGGCAUGCCUAACACAUGCAAGUCGAACGAGACCUUCGGGUCUAGUGGCGCACGGGUGCGUAACGCGUGGGAACCUGCCCUUAGGUUCGGAAUAACUCCCCGAAAGGGGUGCUAAUACCGGAUAAUGUCUUCGGACCAAAGAUUUAUCGCCUUUGGAUGGGCCCGCGUUGGAUUAGCUAGUUGGUAGGGUAAAAGCAUACCAAGGCGACGAUCCAUAGCUGGUCGGAGAGGAUGAUAAGCCACACUGGGACUGAGACACGGACCAGACUCCUACGGGAGGCAGCAGUAGGGAAUAUUGGGCGAGGGGCGAAAGCCUGAUCAAGCAAUGCCGCGUGAGUGAUGAAGGCCUUAGGAUUGUAAAGCUCUUUUACCCGGGAUGAUAAUGACAGUACCGGGAGAAUAAGCUCCGGCUAACUCCGUG